This 1478-nucleotide ribosomal RNA is filed under the name Phaeocystis rex. RNAcentral describes it as "small subunit ribosomal RNA". It matches the Rfam family "Bacterial small subunit ribosomal RNA". Lineage: Eukaryota; Haptophyta; Phaeocystales; Phaeocystaceae. The record is from RNAcentral.
CUUAUUUUACGUUUGAUUCUAGCGUAAUAUCAACGUUAUCUAAUUGCUUAAAACAUGCGAAUAUACAAAAAGAGUUUUGUUGUGUUUGGAGAGUAAUAUAAAAGUAGUUAUUUGUAAGUAAUAAGGAUAAAUUUUUUUCCUUGUUGAGAGUGAUAAAGUUAAACACAAUUACUGACUUACGUUUUUCUUUUAUAGGAUUAGAUGGUUGAUUAGCUAUAAUUUUUCAAGUCAGUUAUCCUUAGCAGUUUUUUCCGAUUUUUCUGCCUCAAUAGUUUUCGCUAUAUUUCUUUUAGAAAUCAGCAGUUAGGAAUAUUGAACAAUGAAAUAACUUUUGAUUCAGCGAAUUAGAUUAGCAAAAUUAUCCGUUUGGAAUUAAGGCUGUGAUAGGAAAAUAAUGAUUUCAAAACGGUAAACAUAGAUUUACCUCAAAAUAAUGCUGAUAAAUUAAGUGCCAGAAAUCUCGGUAAUGCUUAAAGCAUGAACGUUAUAUUAAUUAUUAGGUUUAAAUAGUAAGCAGGAAAAGUUUUAAGCUUUAAAAGAAAUACCAAAAUUAAUGGUUUUAUAAUAAGAAACUAGUAGCUUUUUAAUGUUAUUAAAAGAGUAUAGAAUAAAAAGUGUAGCGAUAAUAUGUUACUAUUAUUUUUAGAAUUUCAGCGGUUAAUUCGAUACUCUUGAUAAAAGCAUAUAAUCUUCGGUUACGAAAGCUUAAGAAUCAAAGGGAAUUAGAGACUCCCGUAGUUUGGGCUAUCAAUAAGGAUUAUAUUUUACAAAUACGUUUUUGUUAAAAAGUUAAAGUUAGGAUAAUCUACCUAAAAAGUAUAAUCGCAAGAUUGAAAUUUAAAGAAUCAGACGAGAAAGAAGAUCGUUUGUGGAUCGUGCUAUUUAAUUCGAUAAAACGCGCAAACCUUACCAAAAUUUGGAAUAUAAACACGUAUUAAUUUUGUUUUUAUUUUUCGUUUUUACAGCUGUUGCAUGGUUGUUGUCAGCUCUUAUUUUAUAACGUGCAGUUAAAUCUGUUAAAGUGCGAAACUUUUAUUUUAAGGUAAUUGUUCCUAAAAAAUUGCGUUUACAAAAUGCAUAAAAAAAAAUGACUUCUAAAUCUUUAUGACGCUUAUGUUUUGGGCUUUGAAUGCGAUACAUUGUAAGCAAAUAAUUCGUUAAAAUCUGUUUGAAAUGGAACUAAUCGAAAUUUAAACUUAAAAAGCUUGCGAAGUUCGAAUUGCUUUUUGAAACUCAAAAGCAUAAAGAAGGAAUAAACAGUAAUGUUAAAUUAGAGCGUUAACGUGAAACGAAUUAUUUUUUUCUAUACUUUUCGCCCGUCACUUCCUUAGAUUAAAAAUUAAUAAGAUAAUGAAAGUAAUACAGUUUCAAAAUUAAAGUUUAAAGCUUUAGAUUUUUGUUACGCGUUAAUUUUUGAGAUUAGGAAUAAGUCGUAACAAAGUAAUCGUAGAUGAAUCUGUGAUUGGAAUAAGAUUUUU